RNAcentral lists this ribosomal RNA (573 nucleotides) under uncultured bacterium. RNAcentral describes it as "partial 16S ribosomal RNA". It matches the Rfam family "Bacterial small subunit ribosomal RNA", at positions 355 to 920 of the family's 1533-position model. The record is from RNAcentral.
UGGGGAAUUUUGGACAAUGGGGGCAACCCUGAUCCAGCAAUGCCGCGUGUGUGAAGAAGGCCUUCGGGUUGUAAAGCACUUUUGUCCGGAAAGAAAACGCCGUGGUUAAUACCCGUGGCGGAUGACGGUACCGGAAGAAUAAGCACCGGCUAACUACGUGCCAGCAGCCGCGGUAAUACGUAGGGUGCAAGCGUUAAUCGGAAUUACUGGGCGUAAAGCGUGCGCAGGCGGUCCGCUAAGACAGAUGUGAAAUCCCCGGGCUUAACCUGGGAACUGCAUUUGUGACUGGCGGGCUAGAGUAUGGCAGAGGGGGGUAGAAUUCCACGUGUAGCAGUGAAAUGCGUAGAGAUGUGGAGGAAUACCGAUGGCGAAGGCAGCCCCCUGGGCCAAUACUGACGCUCAUGCACGAAAGCGUGGGGGAGCAAACAGGAUUCAGAUACCCUGGUAGUCCACGCCCUAAACGAUGUCAACUAGUUGUCGGUCUUCAUUGACUUGGUAACGUAGCUAACGCGUGAAGUUGACCGCCUGGGGAGUACGGUCGCAAGAUUAAAACUUAAAUGAAUUGACGGGGUC